This 217-nucleotide long non-coding RNA is filed under the name Elaeis guineensis (African oil palm). Its description in RNAcentral is "long non-coding RNA (EGUI_LNC005694)". The record is from RNAcentral. Lineage: Eukaryota; Viridiplantae; Streptophyta; Magnoliopsida; Arecales; Arecaceae.
CUGAAGGGUCAUUUCUUACCUUUAUUUAUAGAGGGACCAAAGUAAGGGAGAGAGAGAGAAGGCCCAUUAUGGGUUUUUUGGCCAUAUGGAGUAGUACAGGCCGCCCUAUUGGCUCUGGCAGUAGAUGUGCCUUUCGUUCGAUGCGCAGAUGGCUGCGGCGACACGCCUUAUCGCACGUGGGGCAUAAUUAAUGACCUCGUUGUUUCUUAUCUUGGCA